GGAAGUGUGCCUGAAAGCCAAGGACCUCCUUGAUAGGGAGUCUCAUAGGGGUUCAAACCCCCUCUCUUCCUUA
Molecule: transfer RNA, 73 nt
Filed under: Glandirana tientaiensis (Tientai rough-skinned frog)
Lineage: Eukaryota; Metazoa; Chordata; Amphibia; Anura; Ranidae
Description: tRNA-Ile
Rfam family: tRNA
About the family: Transfer RNA (tRNA) molecules are approximately 80 nucleotides in length. Their secondary structure includes four short double-helical elements and three loops (D, anti-codon, and T loops). Further hydrogen bonds mediate the characteristic L-shaped molecular structure. tRNAs have two regions of fundamental functional importance: the anti-codon, which is responsible for specific mRNA codon recognition, and the 3' end, to which the tRNAs corresponding amino acid is attached (by aminoacyl-tRNA synthetases). tRNAs cope with the degeneracy of the genetic code in two manners: having more than one tRNA (with a specific anti-codon) for a particular amino acid; and 'wobble' base-pairing, i.e. permitting non-standard base-pairing at the 3rd anti-codon position.
Source: RNAcentral